AACAAGGUUAUACUUAUGAAAUUAAAUAACUCUGGUCUCCAGUAUAUUGGCGAAUUCGGUUCUUUGUACUUAAAUUAUUAGCAUGAUUUCUUUUUAAUAUGUUGUGUACAGACUUAAUUACUUCUCUGUCUACUUUUCUUACUCCAUGUAGGUUUCCCAGAGACUAUGGGUUGAGGAGGAAUUGGAAGUUUGUCGGCUUAGACCUGGUGUCAUUCCAUCAGUGUUAAACUUCCCGGUUCAUCUUGGAAGAGUACGUGCCAGAAAGACCACGACCAAGCAGCCUUGAAAUCUUAGGCAGCGUCUCCUUCAGGUCCCUCUCUAUCUCCCCACACAUCCACCAACCACUGGAACACAUCUCCAAAGUUCUGCUGGACCAGCUCAGCUUCCCCUCAGAAGAAGUGCUGCCACCUGCCAGAUGAAGGAGCCUUUUGAGAGGCAGCUGGCAUCGUGAUUGGACUGUACUUUGGUCUGUUCCAAUCCAGCUUCAGCUCCAGAGACGGCAGGCGGGACGAGUCAACGGAGGCCUGGUGGACGAAGACAUGCAGCUGAGUACAAUCCAGAAAACAACAGAGGAGGAGUGCAGCGGCCCAGAGCCAGAACAAACAGAGUAGCAUCGUAUGUCUCUUAGAAAACAUCAUAGUAUAG
This is a long non-coding RNA of Amphiprion ocellaris (clown anemonefish), 645 nucleotides long. RefSeq lists it as uncharacterized. The transcript has 2 exons. The record is from RefSeq and is a predicted model, not a curated record. NCBI's taxonomy places the organism in Eukaryota, Metazoa, Chordata, Actinopteri, Pomacentridae.